UGUACUUCUCGCCUUGUUUACUCAGGAAUGAGGACCGGGAGUUUGCCCCAAGGCUGAAAACGGCAGAAAAUGCAAAUAUCCAGCCUAACCCGGGCCUCAUCCUGAGAGCUGAGCCAACUGUCACAAAUAUCCUCAAGACAGUAGAUGCAGACCAUUCAAAAUCCCCAGAGGGGCUCCUGGGGGUUCUGGGACAUAUGCUGUCAGGGAAGAGCCUGGAUCUGCUCCUGGCUGCAGCCGCCGCCACGGGUAAACUCAAAUCCUUCGCCAGGAAAUUCAUCAAGCUCAAUGAAUUCCCCAAACACAUCAGCGGUGAAGGAUCCAAGCCUGCAUCUGUUCGAGCUCUGCUCUUUGACAUUUCCUUCCUCAUGCUCUGUCAUGUUGUGCAGACGUACGGCUCAGAGGUGAGUUCUGGUGAUCAAUGGAA
Long non-coding RNA from Cyprinodon variegatus (sheepshead minnow), 424 nucleotides. RefSeq lists it as uncharacterized. The record is from RefSeq and is a predicted model, not a curated record. NCBI's taxonomy places the organism in Eukaryota, Metazoa, Chordata, Actinopteri, Cyprinodontiformes, Cyprinodontidae. The transcript is spliced from 4 exons.